GUCGUCCCUGGGCUGGGAGACAGCGCGGCUUUGUUUUUCUAAGAGAUGACUGAGAAGACAAAGUGGAUCAGACCCCCAGGGUCGCUGCUUUACAAGGCAGAAUAUAUGCUUCAUGUUCACAGUGGAAUGGUGGAACGUUAAGAACUUCAGAUGCCCGAGGCAAACCUCAGGAAGGCGAUGGCUCAGCUGAGAAAGGAGCCUCUUGGCACACAAGCUAUAUCUCCCAGAAAUGUCAGAGGCUCCGGUCCAACCUCCACCUCCACUCUCACGAAGGUCAAAGUGCUCCAACGUCAUCAGGCCCGGAGCACUGUAAUCACCCAGUGAGUGACUUCUAGAUCACCUACAUGGUCUAGCCCAGCCUAGCUGGAGGUGUGCUCCCAACAAGUAGCCAUGGUCUGGAAUGGUUGGCAGCACCCUACAAGCCAAGACCUGCAUGCCACCUUGACCUUCCAAAAGCAAUUGGCAGAGAACAGGACUCACGAGCAAAGCCAAAACGUGAGUAUCCAGGUAAGAGUUCUAGACCUGUCACACUACAUGGUAAGUCUGGCUGUAAGCUCUUAAAACAUUGAAGACCUACACAGACCUCUGAAUGGAUCACCUAGAAUCUUAACCUCACCGUUUAACACACAAAGCAGAGGAGAGGUGGCAAUCCCAAAAGCUCUUCUCAUCCUCUAUUUGUCCAGAAAAAGCAACGUUCAGUCCACUCUCUGACUGCAGCCGAGUCCCCUUGCACUGCCUGCGAAAUCCUCUGCCCAGACAGACAUCCUCCAUUUCGUAACUUCGCGUGACAAUGACAACAGACACCAGGGACUAAAGUGAAGACCACCACAGAGGCUGCAGAACUGGUCUCGGCUGCCACCAGCUUUCCAGGGCUGAGCAAAUCAUUCUUGUGUGCCUCAGUUUACCUGUAAAGUGCACACUCACGGACCCCUCCAAAAACCCCUUGUCGGACCAACCUAGCACUGAGCCAGAGUCAGGAAUGGUGGUGAGCAAGUUCUAGAAAACAGAGUGCCUCUGGGGCUGUCACAGGUGAGGCCCUUUCCUGGCUUCAAGAACCACUUUGGAUAAAAAGGGGCCUGGCCAGGUCUAAAUCUGGGC
This 1098-nucleotide long non-coding RNA is filed under the name Mus musculus (house mouse). RNAcentral describes it as "long non-coding RNA chr17:46619836-46620934". Lineage: Eukaryota; Metazoa; Chordata; Mammalia; Rodentia; Muridae. The record is from RNAcentral.